UGAGUAUCCUAAGGCCAGCGAGAGAACUAUUGUUAAGGAACUCGGCAAAAUGACCCCGUAACUUAGGGAGAAGGGGUGCCUGUCUAUGACAGGCCGCAGAGAAUAGGCCCAAGCGACUGUUUACCAAAAACACAGGUUUCUGCUAAGUCGCAAGACGAUGUAUAGGAGCUGACGCCUGCCCGGUGCUGGAAGGUUAAGGGGAUCUGUUAGAGCAAUCGAAGCAGUGAACUUAAGCCCCAGUAAACGGCGGCCGUAACAAUAACGGUCCUAAGGUAGCGAAAUUCCUUGUCGGGUAAGUUCCGACCCGCACGAAAGGCGUAACGAUUUGGGCACUGUCUCAACAAUAGACUCGGUGAAAUUGUAAUCCCGGUGAAGAUGCCGGGUACCUGCGACAGGACGGAAAGACCCCAUGGAGCUUUACUGUAGCUUGACGUUGGGUCUUGGUACUACAUGUACAGGAUAGGUGGGAGACUAUGAAGCAUGGACGCCAGUCUGUGUGGAGUCAUCCUUGGGAUACCACCCUUGUAGUACUGGGAUCCUAACCAUAGGCCUUGAAUCAGGUCUUGGAACACCGUCAGGUGGGCAGUUUGACUGGGGCGGUCGCCUCCUAAAAAGUAACGGAGGCGCUCAAAGGUUUCCUCAGCACGGUCGGAAAUCGUGCGAAGAGUGUAAAGGCAAAAGGAAGCUUGAUUGCAAGACAUACAGGUCGAGCAAGGACGAAAGUCGGACUUAGUGAUCCGGUGGUACCGCAUGGAAGGGCCAUCGCUCAACGGAUAAAAGCUACCCUGGGGAUAACAGGCUUAUCUCCCCCAAGAGUCCACAUCGACGGGGAGGUUUGGCACCUCGAUGUCGGCUCAUCACAUCCUGGGGCUGUAGUAGGUCCCAAGGGUUGGGCUGUUCGCCCAUUAAAGUGGUACGCGAGCUGGGUUCAGAACGUCGUGAGACAGUUCGGUCCCUAUCCGUCGCAGGCGUAGGAAAUUUGAGAAGACCUGUCCUUAGUACGAGAGGACCGGGAUGGACGUACCUCUGGUGUACCAGUUGUUCUGCCAAGGGCAUGGCUGGGUAGCUAUGUACGGAAUGGAUAAGCGCUGAAAGCAUCUAAGCGCGAAGCCAACUUCAAGAUAAGAUUUCCCACCGUAAGGGUAAGACCCCAGGAAGACUACCUGGUUGAUAGGUCGAAGGUGUAAGUGCAGUAAUGUAUUUAGCUUAUCGAUACUAAUAGGUCGAGGACUUGACU
Molecule: ribosomal RNA, 1237 nt
Filed under: metagenome
Description: bacterial LSU rRNA
Rfam family: Bacterial large subunit ribosomal RNA
Source: RNAcentral